RNAcentral lists this ribosomal RNA (440 nucleotides) under uncultured bacterium. RNAcentral describes it as "bacterial SSU rRNA". It matches the Rfam family "Bacterial small subunit ribosomal RNA", at positions 338 to 769 of the family's 1533-position model. The record is from RNAcentral.
CCUACGGGUGGCAGCAGUCGAGAAUUUUUCUCAAUGGGGGAAACCCUGAAGGAGCGACGCCGCGUGGAGGAUGAAGGUCUUCGGAUUGUAAACUCCUGUCAUUGGUGAACAAGACUCUCUGGAGUAACUGCCAGGGAGGUUGAUAGUAGCCGAAGAGGAAGAGACGGCUAACUCUGUGCCAGCAGCCGCGGUAAUACAGAGGUCUCAAGCGUUGUUCGGAUUCAUUGGGCGUAAAGGGUGCGUAGGUGGCGAGGUAAGUCUGGUGUGAAAUCCCGGGGCUCAACCCUGGAACUGCACUGGAUACUGCCCUGCUAGAGUACUGGAGAGGAGACUGGAAUUUACGGUGUAGCAGUGAAAUGCGUAGAUAUCGUAAGGAAGACCAGUGGCGAAGGCGAGUCUCUGGACAGUUACUGACACUGAGGCACGAAGGCCAGGGGAGC